GUAUGGCUGUUCGCCAUUUAAAGAGGUACGUGAGCUGGGUUUAGAACGUCGUGAGACAGUUCGGUCCCUAUCUGCCGUGGGUGUAGGACAAUUGAGAGGAGCUGCCCCUAGUACGAGAGGACCGGGGUGGACGCACCUCUGGUGUACCGGUUGUUGCGCCAGCAGCACCGCCGGGUAGCUAAGUGCGGACGGGAUAACCGCUGAAGGCAUCUAAGCGGGAAGCCUCCCUCAAAACAAGUUGUCCCCAUUAGAGUCGUGGAAGACCACCACGUUGAUAGGCCAGGUGUGGAAGCGCAGUAAUGUGUGAAGCUAACUGGUACUAAUCACUCGAUUGGCUUGAUUACCACUGUC
Molecule: ribosomal RNA, 351 nt
Filed under: Rhodospirillaceae bacterium TMED63
Lineage: Bacteria; Pseudomonadati; Pseudomonadota; Alphaproteobacteria; Rhodospirillales; Rhodospirillaceae
Description: bacterial LSU rRNA
Rfam family: Bacterial large subunit ribosomal RNA
Source: RNAcentral